UACGGGGGGAGCAAGCGUUGUUCGGAUUUACUGGGCGUAAAGGGCGCGUAGGCGGUCACGGCAAGUCAGUUGUGAAAUCUCCGGGCUUAACUCGGAACGGUCAACUGAUACUGUCGGACUAGAGUGCAGAAGGGGCAACUGGAAUUCUCGGUGUAGCGGUGAAAUGCGUAGAUAUCGAGAGGAACACCUGCGGCGAAGGCGGGUUGCUGGGCUGACACUGACGCUGAGGCGCGAAAGCUAGGGGAGCGAACGGG
This 254-nucleotide ribosomal RNA is filed under the name uncultured bacterium. RNAcentral describes it as "partial 16S ribosomal RNA". It matches the Rfam family "Bacterial small subunit ribosomal RNA", at positions 524 to 776 of the family's 1533-position model. The record is from RNAcentral.